Molecule: long non-coding RNA, 3469 nt
Organism: Peromyscus eremicus (cactus mouse)
Lineage: Eukaryota; Metazoa; Chordata; Mammalia; Rodentia; Cricetidae
Exons: 9
Source: RefSeq, a predicted model, not a curated record
AAUGAUGAACUGUAAUCUGGAAUUGUAAGCUGAAACAAAUCCUUCUCUUCAUUAAGUUGCUUUUUGUUAUAAUAUGUUACAACAGUAACAGAAAUGAAUUUAAGACAGUUGUUUUUUCUCUAUUUCCAUAUCCAAAAAGUCAUAUCUAAAAUUAGGGUUUAUUUGUUCAAAUAAGCAUAUUGCUCUAGUAUAUCCUCCCUCUUUUAUUUCAAAUAUGCCUGAUCCGAUACAUUUUCUACUGUGACAUAGAAUUAUAUCCUUUGACACCACAUUGAUCACAAUUUGCCCAUCUCUGAAAUAAUAAAUCUGUCAUGGAGUUUUUGAUGGCAAGGAGCAAUAACAAGCUUGUUCAGUUUAAAGGGCAAUGAGAAAAUACUGUUCCAUGUAACUGAAAUACCAAAUGUUGACUUCAGCUUUAGGCACCAGUUGUAGGUGUCAGACCUGUUUCUUCAUUACUCUUUUAGUUUGCCUCCAAACUUUAGCUUUACUGUCUAGCUAACUUCCCCUUAUGAUGGGAAGUGGUUCAGAAAGGCAUAGGCAACCUAUCCCUAUGGUAUAAGGUCCAUGUACAGAGAGACAAGCAGAUCAGGGCACUUGCAUUUGUUGUUGGAUAUAUUGCAGUUCUUUUUCCACAGUUUACAUAUCUACUCUUGAGUACUCACUGGAUCUACACAGAGAUCAGGAACUAUUGCCUAAUGUUGGAGUUUAAAACCCAUUUCCAAGAUGAACCAUGGAAAGAUGGGGGGGCAUUCUUUUCAUCUGUCAGUUUGGGGGAAUCAGGAACAUGAGUCAAAAGGAUUUCUAGCCAAAGAAAUGAGUCAUUAUUAAGCAGUGCAAUGAAUGCUGGGAAAGCAGUUGACAGUGUCCUUCAUUCUGAGGAUGUCAUCCAAGGCCUGUCACUUUGAGGAUGUCAUCCAAGACUGGUCACAAAUCUAGCUCCAAACUAAAAUUCAAAUUUUCCAUCAUUCCAUUUCUUACAUUACUCUUGUCAGACUGAAUUAGCUGCUCAAAAUUUCCAUUUCAGCGACUUUGCUCCAAAUUAACUUUUUUGUCGUUGUUCAUUUGGAAUGUCAUGUUUCUGCGUCUGAUGUCUCCUCAAUCUUGGUCUUCUCAGACUAAAGAAAACAUACCUAGUCACCAAGACUAAAAUGAGAAAAUGCUAUUUUCUUGUUGAGAGGAUGAGUGCAAAACAAUGAAGUUCAAUCAUUUAAUCUAGAUUUACAUUCCGAAGCUGUCCUCUAGUAGUCUAUCUGUCUGUCGGUCUGUCUGUCUAUCUAUCUAUCAUCUAUGUGGUGAUAUGUUGUGUACCCUAAUAAAAUUUGCCUGAAGAUCAGAGGAUAGCACAAGCCACUAGAGUAAGCAUACUGGUUAGACAAUAUUGACACACACCUUUAAUCCUAGCACUGGAGAGGCAGAGAUCCACCUGGAUCUCUGUAAAUUCAAAUCUACCCUGGACUACAUGAGAUUGACUCAAUGUGUGCAGACUGUUGCCUAUACAAGUUGCCCUAAUGUACCUUCAAAACAGUGUUUUCUAGUGGGUUUUUAUGCCUUCACUCUUAUGCUGUUCAGUCUAGACUCCAAAUAUGUAUACAGGAUGCUUCUGGAAAUCCUCAUAUUAGUCAAGUCAUCAUCACCAUCAACACCAAGAUACUCAUUAGAGAGCAUGUAAUCAAGGCCCAAUGCAGGCCAAGUUCAAUUUUCCUGGCAAAGAUUCUUCGUAAGAAAUAUGAUUUUAUCAAAAUUAAGGUAGACAAAUGAAGAUGUGGUAUCUAGGAAUUGCCUCAUCCUAGAUAACUGUUGAGUCACAGACAUUGUAAAUCAUGGCCUCUUCAACAAAUGUUGGACCCUGCUGUUCUUCUUUAGUCAUGCCUUCUGGACGAUUUUAUUAUCUGGACAAAAUAAUACACCAAAUAAGCAUCACUGAAAUAAAAGUACAUUACAUCAUGACAUUAUUAACCACUGACUCAUUAAUUUUGGAUGCUCUCAUCAUUUUUAUCAGUUUUGAAAAAUUCUAUUCUAAUUUCCUUUUAGAAUAAAUAAGCAUGUGAAUAAAUGAUGACAUGAAGGCAUUAAGAAAUCAAAUUAUGGAAUGAGAUAUCAAUUGCAAUUUUGGAACAAGCACAUUGUUCCUGCAUCCUCGGAUUGUGGCUCCUUCAAUCAUCAACAUAAGAGACAACCUUGGAGUAUUUCUGUCUCACUCUGAUACAGUUUAUAUUCCUCCCUCUUCUACAUUUGAAGGGACUGUGCAAUUAUAAUGGACCUUCUGGAUAAUUGGGAAUAGUCUUUUCCCAGCCCUGGAACAUUCAUCGUCCAUGGAAAUACACAAGUGCUGAGCCCAGGGCUGGUUCCCUGCCACAGAGUCCAACGCAAAUGCACCUGAAUGACUAACGUGUGCUGUGUGACUCAUCCAACCCUGACUGCAUCUGGGCCCAUCUGCUGAGCAGAGCCACCCAAACCAGGAAGGGCCAGUGAGGGUUGCUGAAGAGCUCUGGGAAGAGGGAGUUCAGCAUGUCCUUAAGGUGUCAGUGGAGACCAGAGGUGCUGGAUUCCCUGGAGCUGGAGUUACAGGUGGCCGUGUGCUGCUUGACAUGAGUUCUGGGAACUAAACUCAGUCUUCUGCAACAACUCUAUGCACUCUUAAUCAUCGAGCCAUUUCUCCAGCCCUAUGAAUGAGUCUACUCAUUGCAAGCCUUUAUAAGAACAGUCUCCAAGGUAUCCUAGACAGCUCUUCCUCAGCAGUCUAAUAUUGCAUCUGGAGAGACUUCCCAAGACUAGUCUGGCUAAAGCUUCCAGAGAAGAGGACAGAAUUGUAAAGACCUACGCCUUCACACAACAAACCAGAAACAGAUGGUGAUGCUGAGGUUCGACACAAGGCACACACACUACCUAAGGAAUAUGUUGUGUCGACCAUAAAUCUGCUCCAAGCGCUAAUAAGGAAACAAUGCAUUUUCCACUGUCCUAAGCAAAAUACAUGCUCUCCAGUGUCCAGGUAUUUGGUUGUCCAACAAGAAGCCCAUUCUAACUAAAUUUUCAUUUGUUCCUUGGAUAUGAGGCUGCAAACUUAGGGAUAAAUAAAGGCCAUCAUGUUCUAGAAAGCUUCUUUUCUAUCAGGGGAGAAAAUGCCAUUGUUUCUUGGAAGGAAAAACUAUAAAGGAUAAAUUUGUCCAGUGCUGGAAGGUAUUUUGCAUACCACCAGGGAAGAAAAGAAUUCAUCAUUAUCAUCCAGCUUCAAAUCGUGCAACCAACAAUGGUGACCUGCUUGCAAGAUAAGACAGGAGACCACAACUGGAUAAUGAACAGGGAGUCUGAUUAGAAAAUUUUAACAGAAAACAUUGUGUAUUGUUCUACAUGGACUAUGAGAUAAGGGAAUGAAAUAAGAGCCCAACACCUUGCAUCACAGGCAAGAGUUUGACUGAGCUUUAUAAAGAGCAAAUCUGGCUGUAGUAAAUAAAGCUGUUUGUGUAUGGAA